Molecule: long non-coding RNA, 414 nt
Organism: Haemorhous mexicanus (house finch)
Lineage: Eukaryota; Metazoa; Chordata; Aves; Passeriformes; Fringillidae
Exons: 3
Source: RefSeq, a predicted model, not a curated record
CCCAUGUGCUGAACCUGAAGAGCAGGUUCCAGCGCUGGUUGUAUUCUUGCAGCAAAGGCUGCAAAUCAGACAGCUGCCAAGGGGUGACCUCUGAGGCACACAGAAGUGACGUGGCAGGGAUCAGAUGGAACUGCUGGUGUAGGAGCGCUCCAACUCAGACUGUCCUGAAGGUUUUUCUGUGUGCUGAAGUUUCACCCAAAGGGGACAAGUGUAAAAUCCAAACAGGAGUUCAAAUCUGAAUCUUGAGAUGUCUUCCUCUGCAGUGGGCCACACUAGCCACGUAUGACAAUAUCCCACCUGGUGAAGUUUAGACACAGCAAACCCUUUGGAACCCUGAUCCUCUCCUGACUGUAAAAUGCUAAGUGUGAGCCAGCAAGGUGUUUGUAUUUGAGUCUUGACUUUUCAUGUAUUACU